GGUUUCUGUGAUACCACUUUCUCCUGUCUCUUCCUAUUGAUUUUCAGACUCCUUCACUGGAUUGUCUUCUUCCUGCCCUUAAGAGCCAUCCUCCACCACUCCUGCAACCCAAUGGCUUCUCUGUGACCUGUAGCAGGCGGAAGGCACACCAUCUGCUGCUACAGAUGCCGGGUGUCCAAAGAACAUGCCAACAACUUCAGAGCUAAAGGUCUUCAUUACGCCUGGCAUUAACUCUGUAAACAAGCGUUAACCUUUGGGUUAACCUUUCUAACCAUUCUUUGAAAUAAUUGCCAGCCAACUAUUUACCUACAGGAGCUCACUCAGGCAAGUU
This is a long non-coding RNA of Hipposideros armiger (great roundleaf bat), 331 nucleotides long. RefSeq lists it as uncharacterized. The record is from RefSeq and is a predicted model, not a curated record. NCBI's taxonomy places the organism in Eukaryota, Metazoa, Chordata, Mammalia, Chiroptera, Hipposideridae. The transcript has 3 exons.